UACGGAGGAUCCAAGCGUUAUCCGGAUUCAUUGGGUUUAAAGGGUGCGUAGGCGGAACGAUAAGUCAGUGGUGAAAGCCUGCAGCUUAACUGCAGAACUGCCAUUGAUACUGUCGAUCUUGAGUACAUUUGAUGAGGGCGGAAUGUGUCAUGUAGCGGUGAAAUGCUUAGAUAUGACACAGAACACCGAUUGCGAAGGCAGCUCUCAAAACUGUAACUGACGCUGAGGCACGAAAGCGUGGGGAGCAAACAGG
RNAcentral lists this ribosomal RNA (253 nucleotides) under uncultured bacterium. Its description in RNAcentral is "partial 16S ribosomal RNA". It matches the Rfam family "Bacterial small subunit ribosomal RNA", at positions 524 to 776 of the family's 1533-position model. The record is from RNAcentral.